Molecule: long non-coding RNA, 593 nt
Organism: Ooceraea biroi (clonal raider ant)
Lineage: Eukaryota; Metazoa; Arthropoda; Insecta; Hymenoptera; Formicidae
Source: RefSeq, a predicted model, not a curated record
CAGAUUCAGUACCGGAAGGUCGCAAAUGGAAAACAUACUUUGUAAACAUACUUUAUUGCAAUUCUGUUAGCACACUUCCGUCAAUAUGCAACAUUUUCACCGUUCUAUUGUCAGAUCUGCUCUAAUGUUGUCGUCAAUUUGAUUGUGGAAUAUGUUCGUCAGAUUUGGUUCACAGUGGAGACCAACUGAGGACACAGUAGGCUCUGGCUUUGGCAUUAUAGUUCCGCUGAUAUUUGUUUCUCAUUUGGCAACAUCCCACAAUCAAAAUGUUUGCUGGCCACUUUUGUUGUCCAUUGGUGACGCAGCCACAAUGCAUCAGUAAAGAAAUGUCCAUCGGCAGCGUAAACAUAGACGGUCAAAAUUAUUGAGCACGUCUACAAAGAUUUUGUUUGAAGAUUUGGGAACCGAAGAAACACGCGGAGAAAACUCAAAAUCCAGAGCACGUGAUACCAGUUAACAAACUUAGGAACGUUAGUUAAAUUAUCGAAAUCUUCCAGUAAAGAACUUCUGACUUCUGAUAAACAAUUCUAAUAAUGGCACGGAUGUCAUUAUGGAAUAGGUUUGAAUCGAAGGAGGAAGCUCAAAAAUGGUUA